This 253-nucleotide ribosomal RNA is filed under the name uncultured bacterium. RNAcentral's name for it is "partial 16S ribosomal RNA". It matches the Rfam family "Bacterial small subunit ribosomal RNA", at positions 524 to 776 of the family's 1533-position model. The record is from RNAcentral.
UACGUAGGGGGCUAGCGUUGUCCGGAUUUAUUGGGCGUAAAGAGCGUGUAGUCGGCCAGGUAGGUCUGGUGUGAAAACUCGAGGCUUAACCUCGAGAUGUCAUCGGAAACCAUCUGGCUAGAGUCCGGAAGAGGAGAGUGGAAUUCCUGGUGUAGCGGUGAAAUGCGCAGAUAUCAGGAAGAACACCAAUGGCGAAAGCAGCUCUCUGGGACGGUACUGACGCUGAGACGCGAAAGCGUGGGGAGCGAACAGG